ACACGUAUCCACGUAUCAACCCCUCUGUGCAACCUACUUCUUGAAGGCUUGGUUGGAGUGUCUCUGUUCGCAUGGGUCCUAAUGAUGGGAGCGACUCUUCGGAGGAGCUCAGGGCUCGAACAGUUACGCGUUUGACAAUCAGCCGCUACUUUUCCAUCGUUGGCCCCCUUUCUUAACUUUUUAACCCCUUGUACUUCUUUGUACUGAACCAGAUUCUUCGAUGCUCUCUCUGAGAGUGACGAAAGAUAUUACGAAACUUAAGAA
RNAcentral lists this unclassified non-coding RNA (264 nucleotides) under soil metagenome. RNAcentral's name for it is "partial internal transcribed spacer 1". The record is from RNAcentral.